CCUACGGGAGGCAGCAGUGGGGAAUAUUCCACAAUGGGGGAAACCCUGAUGCAGCGACGCCGCGUGCGUGAAGAAGUAUUUCGGUAUGUAAAGCUCUAUCAGCAGGGAAGAAAAUGACGGUACCUGAUUAAGAAGCCCCGGCUAACUACGUGCCAGCAGCCGCGGUAAUACGUAGGGGGCAAGCGUUCUCCGGAUUUACUGGGGGUAAAGGUAGCGUAGACGGGAGCACAAGUCUGGAGUGAAAUGCCGGGGAUUAAACCCGGAACUGCUUUGGAUACUGGGCAGCUAGAGUGAAGUAGAGGUAAGUGGAAUUCCUAGUGUAGCGGUGAAAUGCGUAGAUAUUAGGAAGAACACCAGAGGCGAAGGCGGCUUACUGGAUUUAAACUGACGUUGAGGGUCGAAAGCGUGGGGAGCAAACAGGAUUAGAUACCCUGGUAGUC
This 440-nucleotide ribosomal RNA is filed under the name uncultured bacterium. RNAcentral's name for it is "partial 16S ribosomal RNA". It matches the Rfam family "Bacterial small subunit ribosomal RNA", at positions 338 to 795 of the family's 1533-position model. The record is from RNAcentral.